AACGCACAUUGCGCCCCCUGGUAUUCCGGGGGGCAUGCCUGUUCGAGCGUCAUUGACACCCUCAAGCCUGUGCUUGGUGUUGGGCGGCUGCCCCCCUCCUCUGCUGGGGGACUCGCCUCAAAGUCAUUGGCAGCCCGCUGUCCCGCUCUCCCGCGCCGUAGCUUUGCGCGCACUUGGGGGGAGGAAAACUGGGGCGGUAGCGGCAUCCAGCAAGCGCGUCCGUUGUGGACCCACAGCUUGACCUCGAAUCAGGUAGGGAUACCCGCUGAACUUAA
Molecule: unclassified non-coding RNA, 275 nt
Filed under: uncultured Pleosporales
Lineage: Eukaryota; Fungi; Ascomycota; Dothideomycetes; Pleosporales
Description: sequence contains 5.8S rRNA gene, ITS2, 28S rRNA gene
Rfam family: 5.8S ribosomal RNA (bases 1-52)
Source: RNAcentral